RNAcentral lists this ribosomal RNA (497 nucleotides) under uncultured bacterium. Its description in RNAcentral is "partial 16S ribosomal RNA". It matches the Rfam family "Bacterial small subunit ribosomal RNA", at positions 28 to 507 of the family's 1533-position model. The record is from RNAcentral.
GAUGAACGCUGGCGGCGUGCCUAAUACAUGCAAGUCGAGCGAACAGACGAGGAGCUUGCUCCUCUGACGUUAGCGGCGGACGGGUGAGUAACACGUGGAUAACCUACCUAUAAGACUGGGAUAACUUCGGGAAACCGGAGCUAAUACCGGAUAAUAUAUUGAGCCGCAUGGUUCAAUAGUGAAAGACGGUUUUGCUGUCACUUAUAGAUGGAUCCGCGCCGCAUUAGCUAGUUGGUAAGGUAACGGCUUACCAAGGCAACGAUGCGUAGCCGACCUGAGAGGGGGAUCGGCCACACUGGAACUGAGACACGGUCCAGACUCCUACGGGAGGCAGCAGUAGGGAAUCUUCCGCAAUGGGCGAAAGCUUGACGGAGCAACGCCGCGUGAGUGAUGAAGGUCUUCGGAUCGUAAAACUCUGUUAUUAGGGAAGAACAAAUGUGUAAGUAACUAUGCACGUCUUGACGGUACCUAAUCAGAAAGCCACGGCUAACUACGUG